Cygnus olor (mute swan) is the source of this 1981-nucleotide long non-coding RNA. RefSeq lists it as uncharacterized. The record is from RefSeq and is a predicted model, not a curated record. The transcript is spliced from 3 exons. NCBI's taxonomy places the organism in Eukaryota, Metazoa, Chordata, Aves, Anseriformes, Anatidae.
AGCCUGAUCCACCACGGGGAGCAGAGACCGCCCAGGCAGAGUUCCCCGUGGCCGUGCUUUGUUUGCUUUGCACCAGUGCGACAUGGCGAAGAGGAGGAGGAAGCUCAUUGUUUCCCUCUUCAGCUCCAUGCCAGCCGUGGAGCGCAGGGCUUAGCACCAUGUGGAAGAGAAGAUUGAGCACGGAUGUCACAAAACAUUACACUGCCUAUCAGUAACACAUGUGAGUUUUUUUUUUUUUUUUUCUUUUUCUCCUCCACAGAGGAGAAAUAGUCUUGAAGCUCUGCAGCUGAACCACGCUCUGUGUGCUCAGGCCUGGAGGCCUUCCCUCGGGAAGCUCAGCAGGCCGCAGGAGGAGCAGCACACCUUGAGGUUCAGGCUCAUUCCUCCCAGCUUUCCUCAGCACCUCCAUACCCCUCCCUGAGUGCCUCCCACCCGAAAUCCCACCGGUGUGCUGGUGGGCGAGCACACAGGGAGAGCACAGCGUGGUGAGCCGAAGGCUGUGCAGGCCAUCAGGGAGCUGCACUUCUGUCUUCAUUUCCACUCCCCUUUCGCCUCAGGCAAAUCCCUUCCCCUUCCUGCACCUUCGUGUCCCUCCCGCUUGUAAUAAGCCUGUCUCAGCUGCAGGUUUUUUGGAAAGGAAAUGAUCUGUGUGUGUGCAUGAGUGAGCGCAGCGGCCUGCGCAGGGUGGCCCAGCCUCACCUGGCAGUGAAGGGUGCUGGGCCCGUGAGGUGAAGCAAGAGCCAUCGCUCCCUGCUCUGGUGGAGCGCCUCCAAACACCUUCAAGCGAACUUCAUUUUGUUUUAAGUCAGGUGUGGGAUGAGGAGCGACUCCAGCAGUAAACAACAGCUCCUUUCACUGCCUCACGCCUCUGUCGGGCGUGUUAUCUGGCAAUCGUGCUGCGGUACGAAGCACAGCAGUGCAGCAAAAGCGCCAUAAAAACCAGCCAGCGCUGACAGAGUGAUUUGCCUUUUUUAAGGUCUGUAAAUCUGAGGCAAAGCGCACGCAGUGAAAUCUCUGCUUCUGGGAGCUCUCCUGUCUAAGGGCAGCAUUUACAGUAUGCUUCCAGCUAUGCCGUCCUCUCUUUGAACCUCUAGGAAAAGGAGACCACCGGAGCUCAAAAGAGUGGUGUAAAGGUCGCAGGCUUAAGUCAGCCUCCACGUUUGAGGAUACUCAUCCAAACUACAUGUGAUUACAGUUACGGAAGGUGUUAUGCUGCUAACUCCAUGGGACUAUGCCGGGUGGAAAUGCCAGCAUGAAGAUCAUCAUGGACACAGCCAUCCUCCUAGGCACCUGCGUUUCAUCCCCAGGCCGCCCACCUAGCUUGGUGGCUCUGUGAGCUCCUCAUUUCUUGGAUCAGCUGCUCACACCACGACUACUCUAAUAUGUCGCGUAAACAGGCAGUAAAAACAAGCUGCAUUUAUUUUAGUCUUUUUUUUUUUUUUUUUGUGAAAUGAUACAGAGAUGCACAGUGGAGAAAGAUUCUAAAAUCCAUAUAUUGUCCUAUACUGUUACAUGCAAAGAGAGACAGCUACUUCAGAAAAAAAAAAAAUGCCGCUUUUAUUGUUUAUUAGCUUUCUCAGAUACAUACAACUUUAUGUAGUAGAUUAGCCCUGGAAAUAUGAACCUGUUCUAGAUUGGGAGGUUUCAAAAGGUUUUUUGUUUGUUUGUUUGUUUUUUAAGUUUGAGAGUUAUCAACAUCUACCCGCUGAACUUAAAAAAUAAAAUCAUUAAGCUUUUCCUACUAAGUGAACUAUUGAACUGGGCAAAAUUCGGAUGCUUGUGCAUUUUACAGACACAUCAGUUCUGAUGCAGAUGUUUUGUAAAGUAGUGGGGAUAUUUUUUAAUAUGUGAGGUUUGAAAUUUAAAUCUCCUUUUAACAUCCUUAUUUGUUGACACAUUCAUAGAAUUUCCAGUCUAGUGCAUAAUCAUACAAAAAAAAAAAGUCUGGCAAAUGUUUUGUUCUUUAUGCUUUUGCAAAUAU